RNAcentral lists this transfer RNA (60 nucleotides) under Hemidactylus inexpectatus. RNAcentral describes it as "tRNA-Ser". Lineage: Eukaryota; Metazoa; Chordata; Lepidosauria; Squamata; Gekkonidae. The record is from RNAcentral.
GAGAGGGUUUAACUANGCUGCUAACCCGGUACCCCAAAAUUAACCACUUGGCCCUCUUUA